CAACUCGACUGCAUGAAGCUGGAAUCGCUAGUAAUCGCGAAUCAGAAUGUCGCGGUGAAUACGUUCCCGGGUCUUGUACACACCGCCCGUCACACCAUGGGAGUCGGAAAUGCCCGAAGUCUGUGACCCAACCUUAGGGAGGGAGCAGCCGAAGGCAGGUCGGAUGACUGGGGUGAAGUCGUAACAAGGUAAC
This 193-nucleotide ribosomal RNA is filed under the name uncultured bacterium. RNAcentral describes it as "partial 16S ribosomal RNA". It matches the Rfam family "Bacterial small subunit ribosomal RNA", at positions 1308 to 1500 of the family's 1533-position model. The record is from RNAcentral.